This 354-nucleotide small RNA is filed under the name Pan troglodytes (chimpanzee). Its description in RNAcentral is "retained intron". Lineage: Eukaryota; Metazoa; Chordata; Mammalia; Primates; Hominidae. The record is from RNAcentral.
GUCUUGAAGGUCAUGGUCCCUGCUCACCUGUCCCCGGUGUGCCCCCAGCUUGGCGGCCCCAUGUGGGCAGAGCCCAUCCAUGACCUGGAUUUUGUGGGCCGUGUCCUGGAGGCUGUGAGCGCUAACCCCGGCCGCUUCCACACCUCGGAGCGGAUCCGAGGGGUCUUGAGCGUCAUCACUGAGGAGCUCCCGGACGUGCCUCUGUACUACACCCUGGACCAGCUGAGCAGCACCAUCCACUGCAACACACCAAGCCUCCUGCAGUUGCGGUCGGCCCUCCUCCACGCUGACUUCCGGGUCUCACUCUCCCACGCCUGUAAGAACGCUGUGAAGACGGAUGCCCCUGCCUCUGCC